GUGCACCAGUCGAAAACCUCCGCAAUACACGAAAGUGUGACGGGCCAUCCCGAGUGCCGUCCGCUGAGGACGGCUUUUCCCCAGUGUACAUAGCUGGGGGAAUAAGGAGAGGGCAAGCCUGGUGUCAGCCGCCGCGGUAAUACCAGCUCUCCGAGUGGUGGGGACGCUUAUUGGGCCUAAAGCAUCCGUAGCCGGCUGGGCAAGUCCUCCGUUAAAUCCAACGAUUCAAUCGUUGGGCUGCGGGGAUACUGUCCGGCUUGGGGGCGGAGAGGCCGACGGUAUUCCCGGGGUAGGGGUGAAAUCCUAUAAUCCCGGGAGGACCACCAGUGGCGAAGGCUGUCGGCUAGAACGCGCCCGACGGUGAGGGAUGAAAGCUGGGGGAGCGAACCGGAUUAGAUA
RNAcentral lists this ribosomal RNA (399 nucleotides) under uncultured microorganism. RNAcentral describes it as "bacterial SSU rRNA". It matches the Rfam family "Archaeal small subunit ribosomal RNA", at positions 330 to 735 of the family's 1478-position model. The record is from RNAcentral.